Molecule: ribosomal RNA, 253 nt
Filed under: uncultured bacterium
Lineage: Bacteria
Description: partial 16S ribosomal RNA
Rfam family: Bacterial small subunit ribosomal RNA
Source: RNAcentral
UACAGAGGGGGCAAGCGUUGUUCGGAAUUACUGGGCGUAAAGGGCGCGUAGGCGGCCUUCUAAGUCGAACGUGAAAUCCCCGGGCUCAACCCGGGAACUGCGUCCGAUACUGGAAGGCUUGAAUCCGGGAGAGGGAUGCGGAAUUCCAGGUGUAGCGGUGAAAUGCGUAGAUAUCUGGAGGAACACCGGUGGCGAAGGCGGCAUCCUGGACCGGCAUUGACGCUGAGGCGCGAAAGCCAGGGGAGCAAAUGGG